CGGUGUUUAACUGGCGUGAUGUGGGACGUCCUACCGGUGGGCUUAGCCUCGCGAGGGGCGGCCCAACUAAUAUCCCGUCGCGGUGCUCUUUACUGAGUGUCGAGUCGGGCCGGUACGUUUACUUUGAACAAAUUAGAGUGCUUAAAGCAGGCUAUCCUCGCCUGAAUACUGCGUGCAUGGAAUAAUGGAAUAGGACCUCGGUUCUAUUUUGUUGGUUUUCGGAACCCCGAGGUAAUGAUUAAUAGGGACAGAUGGGGGCAUUCGUAUUGCGACGUUAGAGGUGAAAUUCUUGGAUCGUCGCAAGACGGACAGAAGCGAAAGCAUUUGCCAAAAAUGUUUUCAUUAAUCAAGAACGAAAGUUAGAGGUUCGAAGGCGAUCAGAUACCGCCCUAGUUCUAACCAUAAACGAUGCCAGCUAGCGAUCCGCCGAAGUUCCUCCGAUGACUCGGCGGGCAGCUUCCGGGAAACCAAAGCUUUUGGGUUCCGGGGGAAGUAUGGUUGCAAAGCUGAAACUUAAAGGAAUUGACGGAAGGGCACCACCAGGAGUGGAGCCUGCGGCUUAAUUUGACUCAACACGGGAAACCUCACCAGGCCCAGACACCGGAAGGAUUGACAGAUUGAUAGCUCUUUCUUGAUUCGGUGGGGUGGUGGUGCAUGGGCCGUUCUUAGUUGGUGGAGCGAUUUGUCUGGGUUAAUUCCGAUAACGAACGAGACUCUAGCCUGCUAAAUAGGCGUACCUUAUGGUAUCGCGAAGGCCCCCGGCUUCGGCCGGUGGGUUUUUACUACCAACGUACAAACAAAUCUUCUUAGAGGGACAGGCGG
This 822-nucleotide ribosomal RNA is filed under the name uncultured eukaryote. RNAcentral's name for it is "SSU rRNA". It matches the Rfam family "Eukaryotic small subunit ribosomal RNA", at positions 629 to 1426 of the family's 1831-position model. The record is from RNAcentral.